Molecule: ribosomal RNA, 253 nt
Filed under: uncultured bacterium
Lineage: Bacteria
Description: partial 16S ribosomal RNA
Rfam family: Bacterial small subunit ribosomal RNA
Source: RNAcentral
UACAGAGGUCUCAAGCGUUGUUCGGAUUCAUUGGGCGUAAAGGGUGCGUAGGUGGCGCUGUAAGUCGGGUGUGAAAUUUCGGAGCUUAACUCCGAAACUGCAUUCGAUACUGCGGUGCUUGAGGACUGGAGAGGAGACUGGAAUUCAUGGUGCAGCAGUGAAAUGCGUAGAGAUCAUGAGGAAGACCAGUGGCGAAGGCGGGUCUCUGGACAGUUCCUGACACUGAGGCACGAAGGCCAGGGGAGCAAACGGG